GGAGGAGUCGCAUAGUUGGUCUAGUGCGCAGUCCUGGAAAGACUGUACCCGGGCAACUGGGUCGCGAGUUCGAAUCUCGCCUCCUCCGCCA
RNAcentral lists this transfer RNA (91 nucleotides) under Candidatus Doudnaibacteriota bacterium. RNAcentral describes it as "Candidatus Doudnabacteria bacterium tRNA-Ser". It matches the Rfam family "tRNA". Rfam says of the family: Transfer RNA (tRNA) molecules are approximately 80 nucleotides in length. Their secondary structure includes four short double-helical elements and three loops (D, anti-codon, and T loops). Lineage: Bacteria; Candidatus Doudnaibacteriota. The record is from RNAcentral.